Molecule: long non-coding RNA, 204 nt
Filed under: Elaeis guineensis (African oil palm)
Lineage: Eukaryota; Viridiplantae; Streptophyta; Magnoliopsida; Arecales; Arecaceae
Description: long non-coding RNA (EGUI_LNC038836)
Source: RNAcentral
UUGCACUAUACUAGCUGAAGAAAUGGGGGUUGCAUAACUUUGCCAUAUUCUAAAAAUAAAGAUGUGGGCAGCUUAUAUCAUCCAAAAAAGGGUGGAGCCUAAUGAUAUUUGAUGGAGCGACCUAUUCUAACUAACUGACUUAGUUCACAUGUCAAAUAGUUAUAGAACUGUUGCUUUUUAAUUUUUUUUGUUAUUAAUAUAGAG